AUGAACGCUGGCGGCGUGCCUAAUACAUGCAAGUCGAGCGAACAGACGAGGAGCUUGCUCCUCUGACGUUAGCGGCGGACGGGUGAGUAACACGUGGAUAACCUACCUAUAAGACUGGGAUAACUUCGGGAAACCGGAGCUAAUACCGGAUAAUAUACUGAACCGCAUGGUUCAAUAGUGAAAGACGGUUUUGCUGUCACUUAUAGAUGGAUCCGCGCCGCAUUAGCUAGUUGGUAAGGUAACGGCUUACCAAGGCAACGAUGCGUAUCCGACCUGAGAGGGUGAUCGGCCACACUGGAACUGAGACACGGUCCAGACUCCUACGGGAGGCAGCAGUAGGGAAUCUUCCGCAAUGGGCGAAAGCCUGACGGAGCAACGCCGCGUGAGUGAUGAAGGUCUUCGGAUCGUAAAACUCUGUUAUUAGGGAAGAACAAAUGUGUAAGUAACUAUGCACGUCUUGACGGUACCUAAUCAGAAAGCCACGGCUAACUACGUG
RNAcentral lists this ribosomal RNA (496 nucleotides) under uncultured bacterium. Its description in RNAcentral is "partial 16S ribosomal RNA". It matches the Rfam family "Bacterial small subunit ribosomal RNA", at positions 29 to 507 of the family's 1533-position model. The record is from RNAcentral.